AUGAUCAUACUAAUUAGCAGUACCAUUGUUGUGAUCUUAGACAAUUAUUGAACGUAAUUUAAGAUGAAACUUCAUAGUGCAUGUAUAGUAAGUACCCGACACAAUACCCAUUUCAAGGGGUAAUUAAUAGGGGCUAUUUAUGCAGCAUUAUAAUGACCUGAUUUUUAAUUGAAGAUUCCAGACGCUAAUGUGAUCCCAUUUUUUCCUUUUUUUUUUUUGUCAAAACAUGCAGGAAAUACACCUACUUGGGUUACUUUCUUAAGAGAAAAGGCCGAAACUGCAAUUUCUAGUCAAACCUGCAGGGUGGUGCAUACGCUUUCUACGAUAUUUGGUACUUUAUUCUCAUUCCACAGGUUUGGCAGGUGUACUAAUUGGAUUACUACUCA
Juglans microcarpa x Juglans regia is the source of this 386-nucleotide long non-coding RNA. RefSeq lists it as uncharacterized. Lineage: Eukaryota; Viridiplantae; Streptophyta; Magnoliopsida; Fagales; Juglandaceae. The record is from RefSeq and is a predicted model, not a curated record. The transcript has 3 exons.